This 235-nucleotide ribosomal RNA is filed under the name uncultured bacterium. Its description in RNAcentral is "partial 16S ribosomal RNA". It matches the Rfam family "Bacterial small subunit ribosomal RNA", at positions 97 to 334 of the family's 1533-position model. The record is from RNAcentral.
GGCGGACGGGUGAGUAAUGUAUAGUUAAUCUGCCCUUUAGAGGGGGAUAACAGUUGGAAACGACUGCUAAUACCCCAUACUCCUUUUACAUUAAUUGUAAUUGGGAAAUGUUUUUUCGCUAAAGGAUGAGACUAUAUGGUAUCAGGUAGUUGGUGGGGUAAGAGCCUACCAAGCCAAUGACGCCUAGCUGGUCUGAGAGGAUGAUCAGCCACACUGGAACUGAGACACGGCCCAG